UCCUCGUAGUAUAACAAUUACCCUGGUCUUGUAACCCAAAAAUGAAGUGCAAUUCUUCNUAGGACA
RNAcentral lists this transfer RNA (66 nucleotides) under Ochotona princeps (American pika). Its description in RNAcentral is "tRNA-Thr". Lineage: Eukaryota; Metazoa; Chordata; Mammalia; Lagomorpha; Ochotonidae. The record is from RNAcentral.